CCUACGGGAGGCUGCAGUGAGGAAUAUUGGUCAAUGGGCGGGAGCCUGAACCAGCCAAGUCGCGUGAGGGAAGACGGUCCUAUGGAUUGUAAACCUCUUUAGGCGGGGAGCAAUGCCGGGCACGCGUGCCCGGAGGGAGAGUACCCGCAGAAUAAGCAUCGGCUAACUCCGUGCCAGCAGCCGCGGUAAUACGGAGGAUGCGAGCGUUAUCCGGAUUUAUUGGGUUUAAAGGGUGCGUAGGCGGAUUUUUAAGUCAGCGGUAAAAUGUCCGGGCUCAACCCGGGCCGGCCGUUGAAACUGGGGAGCUUGAGUGGGCGAGAAGUAUGCGGAAUGCGUGGUGUAGCGGUGAAAUGCAUAGAUAUCACGCAGAACUCCGAUUGAGAAGGCAGCAUACCGGCGCCCGACUGACGCUGAGGCACGAAAGCGUGGGGAUCGAACAGGAUUAGAUACCCGUGUAGUC
RNAcentral lists this ribosomal RNA (460 nucleotides) under uncultured bacterium. RNAcentral describes it as "partial 16S ribosomal RNA". It matches the Rfam family "Bacterial small subunit ribosomal RNA", at positions 338 to 795 of the family's 1533-position model. The record is from RNAcentral.